UUCCAUGACCAAAUUUUGUAUCUUCUUUGUUUUCGAGCUCAUGGAAAGUAGAGAUGGAGAAAUACCACCUUAACUUUUCUUUUCUCCGCUCUGAACUCAAUGUCAAUAGUCAGGAGGAAACCGUUCAUCCAGGGCAGAGGGAACGUAGGGCAAGCAGCUGAUGAAGAAAUGUGUGUAUGUUUGCCUCAAGGACGUGUGUAAAGCUCAACAAUUUCAUCUUCUACACUGAAUAAAAUGCUCAGGAGACUUCUCA
Long non-coding RNA from Ornithorhynchus anatinus (platypus), 253 nucleotides. RefSeq lists it as uncharacterized. The transcript has 2 exons. NCBI's taxonomy places the organism in Eukaryota, Metazoa, Chordata, Mammalia, Monotremata, Ornithorhynchidae. The record is from RefSeq and is a predicted model, not a curated record.